UUAAUUCUUAUCCUCGUUCUCCAGGUGGACGCCUGACUUUUCAAUUCUUUAUCCUCAUUCUCCAGGUGGACGCCUGACUUCUUAAAUUCUCAUCCUCAUUCUCCAGGUGGACGCCUGAUUUCUUCAAUUCUCAUCCUCAUUCUCCAGGUGGACGCCUGACUUCUUCAAUUCUCAUCCUCAUUCUCCAGGUGGACGCCUGAUUUCUUCAAUUCUCAUCCUCAUUCUCCAGGUGGACGCCUGACUUCUUUAAUUCUUCAUCCUCAUUCUCCAGGUGGAUGCAUGACUUAUUUAAUUCUCAUCCUCAUUCUCCAGGUGGACGCCUGACUUCUUUAAUUCUUCAUCCUCAUUCUCCAGGUGGAUGCCUGACUUUUCAAUUCUUCAUCCUCUUUCUCCAGGUGGACGCCUGACUUCUUCAAUUCUCAUCCUCAUUCUCCAGGUGGACGCCUGACUUCUUUAAUUCUUAUCCUCAUUCUCCAGGUGGACGCCUGACUUCUUUAAUUCUCAUCCUCAUUCUCCAGGUGGACGCCUGACUUCUUCAAUUCUUCAUCCUCAUUCUCCAGGUGGACGCCUGACUUCUUUAAUUCUCAUCCUCAUUCUCCAGG
This 602-nucleotide long non-coding RNA is filed under the name Nicotiana tabacum (common tobacco). RNAcentral's name for it is "long non-coding RNA (NTAB_LNC017338)". The record is from RNAcentral. Lineage: Eukaryota; Viridiplantae; Streptophyta; Magnoliopsida; Solanales; Solanaceae.